RNAcentral lists this ribosomal RNA (460 nucleotides) under uncultured bacterium. Its description in RNAcentral is "partial 16S ribosomal RNA". It matches the Rfam family "Bacterial small subunit ribosomal RNA", at positions 338 to 795 of the family's 1533-position model. The record is from RNAcentral.
CCUACGGGAGGCAGCAGUGAGGAAUAUUGGUCAAUGGACGAGAGUCUGAACCAGCCAAGUAGCGUGAAGGAUGACUGCCCUAUGGGUUGUAAACUUCUUUUAUAAAGGAAUAAAACGAGGCACGUGUGCCUUUUUGCAUGUACUUUAUGAAUAAGGAUCGGCUAACUCCGUGCCAGCAGCCGCGGUAAUACGGAGGAUCCGAGCGUUAUCCGGAUUUAUUGGGUUUAAAGGGAGCGUAGAUGGGUUGUUAAGUCAGUUGUGAAAGUUUGCGGCUCAACCGUAAAAUUGCAAUUGAUACUGGCAGUCGUGAGUACAGUUGAGGGAGGCGGAAUGCGUGGUGUAGCGGUGAAAUGCUUAGAGAUCACGAAGAACCCCGAUUGCGAAGGCAGCUUACUAAACUGUGACUGACAUUGAGGCUCGAAAGUGUGGGUAUCAAACAGGAUUAGAUACCCGAGUAGUC